GCCGGCAGUUAGCUCUCUGCAACUCUCACAUGGUCGCCCACUGAAGCUAAGCAGGGCUGCGCCCGGUCAGUACCUUGAUGGGAGACCACUUGGGAAAGUUAGGUUGCUGCCGGAA
This 115-nucleotide ribosomal RNA is filed under the name Danio rerio (zebrafish). The record is from RNAcentral. Lineage: Eukaryota; Metazoa; Chordata; Actinopteri; Cypriniformes; Danionidae.